Long non-coding RNA from Perognathus longimembris pacificus (Pacific pocket mouse), 151 nucleotides. RefSeq lists it as uncharacterized. The transcript is spliced from 3 exons. Lineage: Eukaryota; Metazoa; Chordata; Mammalia; Rodentia; Heteromyidae. The record is from RefSeq and is a predicted model, not a curated record.
GAUCCAACAUCGAGGUCAUAAACAUCAUUAUCAAUAUGGACUCUUUAAUGAGAUUGCGCUGUUAUCCCUAGGGUAACUUGGUCCAUUGAUCAGAAAUUCUGGAUCAAAGAUAACAGAGGUUAACUUUGACUUGUAAGUCUGAAACUAGCUC